UACGUAGGGGGCAAGCGUUGUCCGGAAUCAUUGGGCGUAAAGAGCGUGUAGGCGGCCUGGUAAGUCCGCUGUGAAAGUCCAGGGCUCAACCCUGGAAUGCCGGUGGAAACUGUCAGGCUCGAGUCCGGAAGAGGCGAGUGGAAUUCCUGGUGUAGCGGUGAAAUGCGCAGAUAUCAGGAGGAACACCAAUGGCGAAGGCAGCUCGCUGGGACGGUACUGACGCUGAGGCGCGAAAGCGUGGGGAGCGAACAGG
Molecule: ribosomal RNA, 253 nt
Filed under: uncultured bacterium
Lineage: Bacteria
Description: partial 16S ribosomal RNA
Rfam family: Bacterial small subunit ribosomal RNA
Source: RNAcentral